Molecule: ribosomal RNA, 253 nt
Filed under: uncultured prokaryote
Description: partial 16S ribosomal RNA
Rfam family: Bacterial small subunit ribosomal RNA
Source: RNAcentral
UACAGAGGGGGCAAGCGUUGUUCGGAAUUACUGGGCGUAAAGGGCGCGUAGGCGGCCUUCUAAGUCAUGCGUGAAAUCCCCGGGCUCAACCCGGGAACUGCGUCUGAUACUGGAAGGCUUGAAUCCGGGAGAGGGAUGUGGAAUUCCAGGUGUAGCGGUGAAAUGCGUAGAUAUCUGGAGGAACACCGGUGGCGAAGGCGGCAUCCUGGACCAAUUCUGACGCUGAGGAGCGAAAGCCAGGGGAGCAAACGGG